GACGAACGCUGGCGGCGUGCUUAACACAUGCAAGUCGAACGGAAAGGCCCUGCUUUUGUGGGGUGCUCGAGUGGCGAACGGGUGAGUAACACGUGAGUAACCUGCCCUUGACUUUGGGAUAACUUCAGGAAACUGGGGCUAAUACCGGAUAGGAGCUCCUGCUGCAUGGUGGGGGUUGGAAAGUUUCGGCGGUUGGGGAUGGACUCGCGGCGUAUCAGCUUGUUGGUGGGGUAGUGGCUUACCAAGGCAUUGACGGGUAGCCGGCCUGAGAGGGUGACCGGCCACAUUGGGACUGAGAUACGGCCCAGACUCCUACGGGAGGCAGCAGUGGGGAAUAUUGCACAAUGGGCGGAAGCCUGAUGCAGCAACGCCGCGUGCGGGAUGACGGCCUUCGGGUUGUAAACCGCUUUCGCCUGUGACGAAGCGUGAGUGACGGUAAUGGGUAAAGAAGCACCGGCUAACUACGUG
Molecule: ribosomal RNA, 468 nt
Filed under: uncultured bacterium
Lineage: Bacteria
Description: partial 16S ribosomal RNA
Rfam family: Bacterial small subunit ribosomal RNA
Source: RNAcentral